RNAcentral lists this microRNA (25 nucleotides) under Bombyx mori (domestic silkworm). Its description in RNAcentral is "bmo-miR-3403". The record is from miRBase by way of RNAcentral. Lineage: Eukaryota; Metazoa; Arthropoda; Insecta; Lepidoptera; Bombycidae.
UGAAUCUAGUCUGAAGUCUGAUUUG